CCUANGGGGUGCAGCAGUGGGGAAUUGUUCACAAUGGGCGCAAGCCUGAUGACGCAACGCCGCGUGGGGGAUGAAGGUCUUCGGAUCGUAAACCCCUGUCGAAUGGGACGAAUAGCUUUCGGAUUAAUACCCCGGAGGAAUGACGGUACCGUUAAAGGAAGCCACGGCUAACUCUGUGCCAGCAGCCGCGGUAAUACAGAGGUGGCAAGCGUUGUUCGGAAUUACUGGGCGUAAAGCGUGCGCAGGCGGUUAUGCAAGACAGAUGUGAAAUCCCCGGGCUCAACCUGGGAACUGCAUUUGUGACUGCAUGGCUAGAGUGCGGCAGAGGGGGAUGGAAUUCCGCGUGUAGCAGUGAAAUGCGUAGAUAUGCGGAGGAACACCGAUGGCGAAGGCAAUCCCCUGGGCCUGCACUGACGCUCAUGCACGAAAGCGUGGGGAGCAAACAGGAUUAGAUACCCCUNUANUC
Molecule: ribosomal RNA, 466 nt
Filed under: uncultured bacterium
Lineage: Bacteria
Description: bacterial SSU rRNA
Rfam family: Bacterial small subunit ribosomal RNA
Source: RNAcentral